Molecule: non-coding RNA, 13967 nt
Organism: Taeniopygia guttata (zebra finch)
Lineage: Eukaryota; Metazoa; Chordata; Aves; Passeriformes; Estrildidae
Source: RefSeq, a predicted model, not a curated record
AACUACAGGCAGUAGGAGAAUGAGGAAAGAACCUGUAAUGUGAACAUAUCACAGUAAAAAUACAUACUUACGUUCAGAAUUGACUAUUGUUUUACAAGGAACUCCCAAGAAAACAUGCAUGUGGAUCCCACUGCCUGCAGAGGUUCUCUUUAAACACUCAUGAAAUCAACAUAUCAUACUUAGAAGAUUUCUUGGUUUAGCUGGAAGCAGGGCUGUAAAUGUUCUGCUCAUAUCCUUCACCAUGGGUUAGCUGAUACCACCAGCACACCCACUUCAUACUUGUGGAAAAGGCUACUCUUCACUGGCCUGCUUGGGUGUUCUGCAGGCCAAGUGUCAGUGCUGCAAUCAGGUCUAUAAAUCUGCUACAUUAUUUGUGUGCUGAAGCUUCUCUUCCGAUUGUGAUGAAGAAAUAAUUGAGUUGCAGAAUUCCACCAGUUACAUGUGAUGCUCAUUGAAUUUUAUUCUCUAACAAAAGUUAUUUUGUAAGUUGGGGAGGAAAAAAGUUUAAAUGUAAGUGGAUACAUAUAUUUUUGGUACUUAAAACCAUUUAAUUACAUCAUUAUUUUGCCAAGUAACAUGACAUGGACAAGUUAGAUGUUAGCCUUUUUUAUAAUUUCACCAAAGUGAUCAUACAUAUUUGUUUGCUGGCUACACAACUACAUUUGAUCUUUGUCCAAGCACAGAAAAUUAGUGCAAAAAAAGUAUGGGAGGAUCCAGGGCUUCCAAAUAUAUUAAACUCAUUACUAAGAUGCUUUCUUAAACUUUCUCAUAGUUCAGCCUUGUUCACUCUUGAGAUGUUCUUGUUCACUUAGAGGUGAUGCCUCACUGACUUAAAGUAAUAAUCCUAAAUUGAAUUGUCUUGUAAAGAAAUGCAACAGUGUAAUUGUCAUUUUAACAUAGAUGCUUCUCAAGAAAAACCCAAUUUGAAUGUUACUACAUUUUAAAAUAUAUUUCUAUGACCUUGUUUAGAUGUGCGCUACCAAAGGAUGCAUAUUGUAAGUGAGCUGAAGUGUUCGUAUGCAGAAAAGCCAAUGUUUUUUACUGCAGGUAAAACAGAGCCUCCCAUAGUUGUUAUCUCUGAAUGUGGGGCUGGUGCUUUGAUUCAGAAUGGUGAAACAGGCACAUGCUGAAUGUUUACUAUUCUCAUUGGAUAUUUCUUCCCACAGUACUGGAGGAGAGUGGGUUAGAAAAUGAUUGUGAAAUACUGUUCCCUUCUCCUAGGAGAACAUGUUGUCCCAAGAAAACUAAGGAAAUGCUGGCUUACACUUUUUCCAAAUGAGUUUACUGUAAGUGUGGCAGUAAGUGGCAGUAAGCUGUUUUAUGCACUGCAUUGUUUCCCACAGUAUCCAGUCCCUGCAGUUGACAGUUUACAGGUGUCUCUGAACCUCUGACUUCAAAUAAAGCCACACAGAGACCACAAGUCAGUCCUGAUGAGCAGACACAAUUCUUCAGGUUCUCUUCAAGGCUGUGAGAUGCAAAAUAGUUGUUUCCUUGAAAAGACAUUUGUCAAGAAGAUGACAGGUCUUACUGAAGGAAACUUUACAACAACUCUACACUUUAUGAGAGAGGAAUAAAGCUGAGGCCCUAAUGCUCAUCUCUGAGUAGUGUAAUUUAAAAUAAUCCUCCACUGCAUCAAUGGCAUUUUCCAUGUGUAAAAUGAGGAUAUCAUGGCUGAACAGAACCAGUGCUUCAUGUUUGUAGCUAAUUUAUCUCCUGACAAACAGGAGGGGAGCCCUUCUUACUGUCAACUUUCCAAUAUGGCACACACUGAGGCUGCAGAAGUCUUGGGCAGUAGGGGCUGAAGAGGGUAAAGAAGCACUGACCAAAAAUCACACUGACCUGCUGCAGAUUUUUUGUUUUAAUCCUGUAAGUCCUUGUCAUGCUGCAAAGAGCCCAGUUUGCUGAAGGAAAACAAGACAAAGGAGGGCAUGAUUUGGGUGAAAUGCAUGGGGAGGCCAUGUCUCGGGCAUGCACAGACCUCCUGACAUGGGCUGUUUCCAGUGCUCCGUCUGGGUGGGGAAGGGGUGCUGCAGUCCUUGUGUCUUCACCUAUGCACUUUCUGGCUCCUCCACCUCCAUCCACCCUUUCCCAAGGUGGCAAAGCAAGCCAGCCUGGGGCCGCUGUCCCGGAGGAUUGACCCUUUCAUCUAGGGGGCAGGACUCCUACCACCAGCAGUGAUCCCACCUUCAAGCUCAGCGGCUCAGGCUGCGACCUGCUUUUGGAGGUGACCUGUUGUGACUUAAGGACUAGGUAGUGCUAGUGAGCCAAAAGAGAGCUGAAAUGGGAGAUAGAAAUGAGCCUCUGAAAGCACUGGGAAGGCUGGUACUUGCAUAGUUCUGUAAAGGCAACAGUGUUAGUCCUAAGGAAAGGGUACUAUUUCUACAGCUAUAAUCCAAGACAUUUUCCUUGUUAGCACCAAAGCUGCACUCUGGGAUUCAUCUUGGCUUAAUACAGACACCGCAUAGGGAAGUUCAGGGAUGGUCAGCUAUUAUGAACAAUUGCAGCUUUGUAAGCUUUGGAGUUUUAUUUGAUUCCUGUCCUAGGUUAUAAUAUUGGGGUGUAUUCCAUUACCACCUCGAGCUACAAUCCCUUUCUUUCCUUAUCUUGUAACUCAGACAUAAGCCCCUCCAGGAGGACCUGUUCUUUUAGCCACAUGACUGAUAAGAUCACAGCAUUCUAUUGUGAAAUGCUCUGCCCAUAGGGAGGAGCCAAACGAUGCCAUCAAGGAUAUAAGCAGGGUUGUGCAGACAGCAAGUAGAUCCCCUCUUCCAAGAAGAACAGCUGAGACCUUCUCUACACUGGACCUCCAGAGGGAAACUACAUCAGUCUACAAGACCACUGCUUGGACAGAACCGUAUCUGCUACCACUGCCCUAGCCAGCAAGUGUCAGGUGCUACAGCUAGUUCAAACGUCUGUUGGAGCGAUUUUUGAUCAGGAUGGAAACUGCGCUGGGAUUUCACGGGAGGUCUUCAGGAGCAGACACGUCUCGGUACUGAAGCUGCCCUGCAGGUGGCGUAAGCCAUCUGCUCAGCACAGGCACAGCUCUAAUGCUACGCUUGUGUUUCAAAGAAGAAAAGCAAAAUAAUAAAAACAUGCUCACAAAACUGUUCUUUAUAUAGGUGCUGUGGGCCAUGUUGGCUGAUGCAUGGCUGUGUUACACCGCCUUCAAUGUUGUGAUAAAUGAAAGAUAUUUUUUUCUGGUAAAGGUAAAAUCGUAUUUUAAGACACAGUGUUUUCUUGUGCCUUUGAAUGAGGAGAGUCUGCCUUUCUUUCAGGUACUUUGAUCACCUACAGAGAGCUCAUUACAAGCUGGUGAGUAGAAAAUGAUGAGCAUCAGUCUUUUGAUCUUAACUAUUCUAGAUUUAGGGGAAAAAGAACAAAGUUUGAGUGUGUCUACAGUUCCUACGCAUUAUAACAUCCAUUUAGGGGCCACAUCCAUUCCUGGCUGAGUUUAAUCACAGUGUGAAAUGUGGUUUGUAUUCCACAUCUGGCCAUUGUAGGAGGAGGUAACGCCUACAUUCAGGCAUCUUUUCUGCUCCAUUCAGAACUACUGAAUCUCAGAGAAAAACUGUCCAUAUCUAGGUCAAAAGUGAGGAGGGAGAGGAAAUUAAAAAGAAAGGGAAGUCAAAGGAGGAUUGUCUGGCGAGACCUUAAAUCCUUAGCUCUUCACUGUAGCCCAUGUGGGUAACUGAACUUCUGAGCCAAGUACAAAAGUCAUGAGGUUUUAGGUACAGUAAAGAAAUUCAUAUCUCAAGGUACAGAAAUAUGUGUCUCAAGAAGGAGUUGCACAGUGACCAGAAUGGGUAUUCUGUCCCAGCCUGAAGGACAAGGUGUGCAAAGUAUGUGAGCAUCUGAGAUUGGAAAUAGAUCCCUCAUGAUAUUGUCAAGUAUGCCUGUGGGAAGAACAGGGAAAACCACACCAAGCAUGUUCAGCACCUGUAGACACAAAGUGGGCUUGAGUGUUUGGCACUCACAGUGUGCACAACAUUCUCCACAUGUAUGAUCAUGCUAAGCUAUGUCACAGGUUGUGAAGUUAGGAAGACAAAGAAAAAACUUACUUGGAAGAUUUAAAGGAUACACUUUGCAAAAAAUUCAGCCAACACCUGGCUCACCAACUGUUCUAUUUUUACUGUUUAAUCCCAGUCACACUCCUAUGAUAUCUUUGAAUAUUCUGAGUCCAGGAGAGAUGAACCCAAAGACAGGAUUAAUACAGAAGAUUAUUUUUUCUUUUCAUUUCCACAGCACAGUCCUGAAUACAGCAAGUAGUGAUUUCAUAAAAAGCAGUGGUUGCAGUCACAUCUGAGUUACAUAAGUAAUAUAACUCUUCUUUAGAUUUCUGAGGUUACAUACCUCCAGGAAAACAUGUCCACUUGCUAUAUAUUUAAUUGAGUUUGGGAAAUAAAAAUGUUAUUUUCAGUGUUUUCCAGGCCAGAGCUAAACCUUUCCUAAAGGAGAUUUUAAUAAUAUCCAGAAGAGGGAAUGAACUUACUGCAGGCAAAAAUUAUAAUAUAAUAAUAAAAAGUCAGACUGCUCCAAGUCUCAUUUGGCUCAACUGCUGAAUUUAGGAGAUUUCUCUUAAAAGUCUUUGGUGUAUUUUAGUGUGUCUCCACAAUGGUUGGGAAAAAAACAAACAUAACCUGUUGAGAGUUCACUUUAUAUAACUCUUCCUCAUCAUGCUAAAUUUUUAGCAGAAAAACUGCAGACCACUGGGUUUACCUGAGCUGGGUAAGCCUUUUAGCUUACCAAAUAUCACAUCAAAAGUUGGGACUGAGUAAGUGUUAAAGUUUUGUUAGAAUGGCGUGUCCUAAAGUAAUUGUAGAAUGCCAAAGACAGAACUUCCCGUGUUCCUUCAGGCCGAGCAGGGAUGCCAAGCAUAUAGAAUUGGAAGCUGCCUAUAAGGGUUUUUUUAUUUGCUUGAUAUUGAGCAGACAGCAGAGAUAAAAUACCAAAAAUGCCUGAAAUCCUUACGACCUUUUACUGCAAACUGUGAACUUUGUCUGCUAAACUCAAAUUUCUAUUUACACUGUCAGCAGAGGCUACAUGCUGUUGCCUUUUCUUUGUCUCUUCAGUUUGUCAUCUAUCAAGGGACAGCUUCACAAACACUGCACAGGAUGAGGGACCUGAACACAUACCAGACCUUCUGCACGUUCAAAAUUCUUUGUCUCAGUUCUGUGGAUUGCUUAAAAAUGGCUGCAGUGAGAGCAAAGUAGCAUGAAAUAUGCUGUUUGCACCAAAAGUAAGAAAUAUUCUAUAGAAAGUUUUAGCUUUGCCAUCAGCUGGCAUAGCUCACAUUCUGAAGUUGUGUCCCAAAUCCUGCACAGCUGACUCCAUUUACACCAUCUUCCAUUAACACAGGAACACACAGGUGACUGCCCACUAAAUGGUCCAAAAUACAUUCAGCAAAGAACUGCAUCACCUUCUUAAACUAAAUAUCCCUGAUUUCAGCCUUGUGCUUCAACAUUCACCCACCCUUGUAAAUGAGGAGCUAGACUGUUGCAGAGAACAAGUGCAGAGGAGAUUUCAGAGGUAUAAAGUAGAAAUUGUGAGAGUGAGUAGAGUGAGGGUGAGGGUGACUGAACACUGGCAUCAGUUGCCAGGGUGGUUGUGAAGUCUCAUCAUGUGAAAAAUUCAAAAGUUUUCUGGAUGUGGUCAUGGCCAUCCAGUCUAGGUGUCCCUGCCUGAGCAGGGGGAUUGGACAAGGUGACUUCCAGGGCUGCCUUUAGACCUCAACCAUUCUUGUUCCUAUGGAAGACUACUGUGAACUGUAAUAUUUGUUGCUAUUUGCAUAACUUUGCCAAUUAAAACAGAACAGCCUUAAUCAAUUAUUUAAAUAAACCAGACAGCUACAUAAAAUUCCUUUGAAACUUAAUAGAAGGUUGAAUUAUAUAACAAAUGUUUUAGCUGAAUUCUUAGUAUUAGAUGGGCAAUUAUUCUGACUGUAUUUCAAAUUUCAUUUCACACUGUGGUAGCAUUCCUUGAACUUUACAAGGCAAAGGCAUUAAUAGAGUUGUGUCUGAACUCUUUAGGGUCUAAAAAACUGUCUUAACAUGAGAAUUUCUUGAGAGACUUCUGCACAGAAAAUACAUUGGUGUUUCCAAAAGAAACUGAGUUCACAAGGAAUCAUUUCAUUGGCACAUUAUGUUAAUGAGGCUUUUGAAAGAAGAAAUUUCACUUAGUGUUGCUUUCCCCUGAAUGUGAAAGCUGUGGAAAAUGUGUGGAAAACAUUGGCAAAGUGAUGAUGGCAGGUGUAUGCUCUAUAUGUUACUGUUAAUGAGCUAGCUGUUAAUAAACCAUAUGCUUUAGCAUAUAAACAGGAAGAUUUAUGCAUAAUGCAAACAUUUACUGUUUGGUAUAACUGUUUCCCAGAUCAGAGAGGCACAUUGUUCCAGUCUUCCACAAACUUCUUGUUAUCAGUAUAAAAAUCUGCUGCCUACUGGUUUCAAGUUCUUUUCAUGUGAGUUGGUCUGGGGUGUAGUGGGGCUCGGAAGCAGAGAAUUUAGUGAGCAGCAGGUUCCUCAGAUGUCUGCUCUGCACAGCCUGGGAUCAUAAACUUGUCAUUAUGGCUACUAACAGCAAGCAGGAGGUUUCUAUACAACAUCCCAAUUCUAAUGAUUCGCGGAGUCAAGUUCAUCCUGUUCUUUUUAUGUGUUCUUCUGUACUGAAGCUUUUUGUGUCAAUUAUCACUACUAAAGUCCUAAACAAGCCCCUUUUCUGCAAAACACAGACAAAAGCAACCAUUGGGUUUAUUCACAAUAAUGCUUGGAUUAGUUAAAGAAACCACAUUUAUAAAUCGGAAAAGUAAAUUUCUAAGCUAUUGAAUAACACUGCUAUGUUUGGAAAAGAUUUUUCUUUUGUAAUUCUCCUUUAAUUUCCUCCCAUCUAAAGCUGCUGUGAGGAGUCUGAAGCUAGGUUUUCAUGAGUAAGUGAAGGAGUCCAGCAACCUGUCUCCUAUUUAAAAUAAAUGGUCCUGGAAAUGUAUGGUAGCAUUUCCAUAAAUACUUGAAUAACUUGAGGUUUAGGUUCCACUAAAGGUCUUCCAGUAUUUCCAGCUCCCCAAGGAAGACAGAGAAAAAGCAGACCAGUAAACUAAUCCUUACUAUCAGAUAAGCAGGGAUUGAAUGGAGGCACAUAAAGCACGAGAAAACGAGGAGGAAACUGUGGACAGAGGAGAUGCCUAUGUUCAAGAAGUUUAUACACUGAGAGGCAUAAAAGGCAGUUCAACAGGAAAAAGGAUAGACAGAAAAAAUAUCAGACUAUACAAAUUGAAACAUUACUUUCAAUCACAUAGGUUUGUUUUGGAUUUUGAGAUACAAGCUCUGUAAAUCCACAUUGUAUAACUUUAUCACCUGACUCAGUGCCUCUGAAGUCAGCACAAGUAUUUUUUUCAUUUUGCUUCCUGAUCAGAUUAGAAAGUGUUUGAAGUCAAGCUGUGCAUUCUGACAACUUUCUAAAUAGUUUUGCUUUCUUCAUUUCAGUUGUUGUUUUUCAAUUUAAAAAUAUUAUUAAAAUACCACUUUUGGGUGGGUAGUGACUACCAUGACACUGUGUAGAAAACCAAAGCAAUCUGAAGCAAGCUAGACAUUCUAAGUACAUUUUUAAAAUACCUUAUUGCUUAAAUAAAAGAAAUCCCUUAGUCUAGCAAUUAAUUUCAGAUGUUUGAUUGUUUCUUUUUAAAGAACUGUCAUGUCAACCAUUUAGAACUGACAAGAACUAUUUUGGUAUCUUCAUGAGUUUUCUCCAACAUCUGCUCUCCUCCUUAUGUUGGGAACUACAUACUCAUCUUUAUUGUCUCUUGUAUUCAUCUUAAUUUUGCUGUAUUUUAUUUUAUUAUUGGAGGAAAACCUCACAGAGCUGUUUGUGGCAAGAUUUAGUUACAGGAAACCCAACAGCUAAGCCCCAGUUUCAGCUGAGACAAUUAGACUGUUGAUUUUGGUAGCAGCUCAGGACUUCUAUUUGACCCAAAUGCCUUUCAGAUCUAUCUGCCAGUUGAUGCUUAAGUCUGAAAAUUUUCUGUAUUCUUGCUACAGAUAGAGGGCUUUGUUUCCUUUUCAUUUGAGGUGUAUUUCUAUCCAGAUCUGAAUGUUUUGCUGAAAUUCUUUUCCAUUCACUGAAACAGAUUAAAAGAAAAAAAGGAAAUAAUAUUUUCUAGAACUUUCAACCUCUUUUUAAGUUUCUUUUCCCCUUAAAUCUCUGUUCCUUGAUAUCUGUGAAUUGUUGAGGACAGUGUUUUUCUAAAAGCAAUUUUGCCACUCAUUCAAAGUAAUGGGUGCUAAUUUGUAAUGCUUAGUUUAACUGUCUCUUUUUCUGUCUAGCAGCUACAUUUAAUAGCUUAUAUUACUGUUUCACCUGUUGUAAUAAAGAACUCUAAAACACUGAAAACUCAAUACUUUUUAAAAGUGAUCUAUAUUAUGUAACACCAGAAGAUAUUUAUUGAAAUGUUUGAAGAAAUUACUAAUGAACAGAGCAGUGUUGUUAUACUGUCUUUUCAUCAACUGCUACAGAAACUUCACAGCUGAAUUAUCCAACUCCACUGCCAUUCUUGGAUGGAUGUUUUCUUAAGUGGAUGGGCUCUAACACUUUAUGGAUGUUCUGGGAGAAUGUAAAUAAUAACUAAGAAGUUUUUUAUUCUCUGUCAGUAGUUUGUGGGCUAGAGUCUUGAGCAUUUUUUUUCUCUUUUUGUUCCUUCUUUUUUCUCUUGUUAGACUUUCCUAGCACCUGAUGUAGGAUAGGUCACAGCAGCUGAUGCUGGGUGAAAACAGUUACCAGGGACAGCUCCAGCAAUGGAGUGGUCAGAGAUCCUAAAAUCCUGUCACUGCACCAGUCCACCCCACUGGGUUCAUAGUUCAGAGGUCUCCAGUGGGUUUCCAUGAUUGUGUGACUCUGCUGGUUUUCAUCUCAGACAAAUCACGUAUGACUUCUCCGCAAGUGAGAAACGCUACUGAAUGUGGCGCUCAUUUUCCUUAAAAGAUGUCAAGAAAGUCUGAGGGAGUUCCAUGAUUAAUUCCUGCCAUGUGGAUUCUUUCAAAUAAUUAGCUUUCUAGAAACCAAAACAGUGCAGGACACUACUGCAAUGCAACUUGUUAAGCAAUAACGCGUCUUUUCUUCCAGAAGUCACACUUGAUAACAAACAAUACUCAUAGGCAUAAGAUGACUGUGGACAGUAUGAGCUAAUGUCUCGUCAGAAAGUUUUCCAUUAAGGCUCAGAAUUAUGUUUAACAUAUUCUUCCCAUUAUUGAGAUAAAUUAAACAGUGUAUUAAGUAUGGAUUUCUCAGUUAAUGUUAACUGGUGUUUAUUUUAGCAUGUACAUAGAUCUGGAAGUGGACACAUGUACGUAGGCAUUUUGGGGAUCAAAAGCACAUCAACAGCGUGGUUCACUCUAGUUCCAGGAUAAAAUGUUUUCUAACAUUUCUUUUUAAUGAAACUUAACUCCUUACUCUUUUCCAACCAGAAAAGUAUAUUUAAACCAAGCUGCUUUACAGAAACACAAAUAUGCCAAAUGCCAUACAUGUUCUCUCCUAUCAAACAAUGGAGAAUGACUGAAAGGAUAGAUUUCUUUAUCUAUGAUAAAAAGUGCUGCUGAGGAUGAUCACCAAAAUUUAUGUACCGUAUAAUUUUCUACUCAAAAGUCAAAAGCUUUGGUGUAUAGCAAAUAUGUGAAUAACUUAUCAAACCCUGUAUAGGUGAUGGCUUUAAGACAACUUCAGUUUUAAGCCUUUGUGCUUUGUUUUUGGCAUUACAUAGAACUCCUUAGGAUUGCAAAGUUUACAUUAGAAAAACUUACAUUGCAAAGUUUACUUACAUUGAGGUUUUGGGACAGGGCAGAAGAUGGACAGGUUGGCUGAUUUUCACUCUAGGAGACACAGAUUUCCUGAUUGUGUUAGGCCGGGUGUUACUUUGUUGAUUUUAGGUUGGUCCUAGGGGAAAAAGAAAGCUUUUAAGAAAUAUAUAUGCAUAAUAUCCUUCCCCCCCACCCCCUCCCCCACCCCAAACACUAAGAAGCAUUAGUCAAAAUUUUAAAACAUAGUGGCUUAACCUAGUCUUUUAAUUCCCCAUUCCAGCUUCUUAUUCAAGGUCUACUGUUCAGUGAAAACCUGGCAACUCAUUCAUUCUGAGUAGCCUUUUUAGUUAUUCAGUGCUUGUGAAAACUGAUGUAGCAGUUUGAAUAUGGAUCCUAUGUUCAGUGUUUUUGUUGGCAAGCCUGUAAUAAUUAUGCUGCAAAUCAAAAUAUGGGUUUGGAUUUCAAAAGUGCCUUGAGCCUUGUUCCCACCCUUCUACAGAGACACUGCAUAACUUUUUCAGAUUACCAGGUAUAAAAUUAUCAGUCUGAAAUACAGAUGAAAAACUUUUACCUAAUCUUAUAUUUCUCCAUGUGUGUCAUGCCUAUGGAAAUGUACAUACAAACCCUUUAAUGCAACACAUAAAUAAAAUCAUUAGUUCCUGAGAGGCAUUGUGCUUGGAAACUAUCAAAGUCCCAAGCAUUACUGCACUCAUAAUGUGGGGAUACUAACAAGGAGUGUCACAGACAAUGCUAUUGUCCUAUAUAAAAUAAAAUCUGCUUUUCUAUUUAUAUUCUGAUCAUUCUCACACAGCUGCUACCAAGUCCUAUGUGCUUUGCCUGACACAAAUCCCACUGACAUGACUGGGAAGUCUCUGUUAUUUACUGCGUUCAGCUGCCAUCGAGCUGUUUAGGGCUCAGUUGUGGAUGGAGAAUUCUGAAUGAGUGUGCUCCAGCUGGAGUGAGCACAUGCUUGAGUGCUGUGCUGGAUCAGAGCUGGGGAAAGCGCUGCACCUCUCUGCAUAGCCCCUGCCGUCAGCUGCUCACCAUGCACUGCACUUGCUGCUCAGCAUCCAUCCCACAGGGAGCCAUGGGCUCCUGCAACCCAGCCCAUGGAAAAGCAGGGUGAUCGCUCUUUGUGUGCUGAUUUGUUUUGUGGUUGAAAAUUGAGGUAUUUGGCCUAGGAUCUUCCAUGACUGUGUUAUUGCUCUCCAGAGCCACUGGUUUCCCACCACUCAGAGUAACUCCAAGGAGCCAAACACACCCAAAGGUAUCUCUCCAUUUAUUUUUAGCAUUUUAUCAGCCAGGGAAAAAUGCAAAUUCAAGAGCAGUGGCUCCUGACCUCUGCAAGGCUGUGCUGAAGCAGUGCCCUGUACCCCAGCACUCAAGGGUCCUCCCCAGACCCAGAGCGGGCCUCAGGCAGCUCUGCCCUGGGUGGCCUGGCCACCAAGAGACCAAGCAAACCCUAGGGGCAGGAAGCAUUUGGAAAGGGAGGAGUACCGAGUUCCCAGAGGAACUCUUUUACCUCAGAUUUAUUCAAGUCUAUUUGAAAUGUGCCCACUCUACCCUGUUUCAUCUGAAUGCCACACCAGGGCUAUUUGUAAGGCCUCUCAAAUGUGACAAAAGUACUAGUGAAAUUAUUCUCAGAACAAUCCAUUUUAAUAGAAGAGGCUUGAAUUUUCUAGACAGCGGAGUGUUUUCUGCCAGAAAGGAGAUGUCCAAACAUCAGCCCCAGUACCUCCAUGGUACUGCUGCCAUCCAGCCCCUGAGUUGCUGGAAUCUGUUUCUCCCUUCAGGUGACUCCAGCUGCCCACCUAGUCACAGCACAGGCUCUGAGAGCUGCUGCAUCAUAGCAGCCAGGUAGGCACCUUUCUCUCAACACCCAAAUCUCUUUCAGACAGAAACUGGCUGCUUUUCAGACCCUUUGACUUAAACUAUGGAUCAGAUUAAUAAUGACAAAGCUUUCUGGCCUCUGGUGUAAUUUUUUUUUUUUAAAUCUCUUUAAUGAUAGCAGAUUGGAAAUACCAGUCUGGUCUCCAAUUGACCCUUGCUUUAUAGAUAAUCUGUGUUGAUUUUCUCCUGACUUCAUCCAUCUCUUGCAAGCAGAUCCCUUAUGAGUUUGCGGGGCAGUUUAGGAGAUAUACGAUCACCUGGGGAACCAAUAGGAGAUAAUUCCCGAGUACUGUGGAUUAUUUGCAAUUUAUUUCAUCAAAUUCAUUGGAGCUGUACAAUGAAAUGUGCAUUUGCCACCUUUCUGAGAGGAAUCUAAAGCCUGAAGAGCAGUAACUGCCAAUGCGUUUUGCAGAACUUUGCUGCUAUAUGGUUCCUAGUUUUCUGAAGAGUAAGUUCUCCUUGUUUAUCCUGCCAAACAGGCCUUCUGCUUCAAAUGAUAAGGCAGUAAUUCAGAAUACAUCUACACCCUAUCAGAACUUUUAGAGACACCUCUGUGCCCUGCAGUUCAGCUUGGGAUACAAAUUUCCCUGCAACUUGCAGGUAUUUAAGGUUGGGGCUUUGGCUCAGCUUCUUGAGUGAAUGAGGGGAAGUCACCAAGUCAGAAGUAGCUUGGUAUAGUUAGCAAAAUAGAAACCUGCCAGACUGAAGGGGAUGGCAGCUACUUUGCCUGUGACUGAGGAGGGAGGGAUUAGGCAUUUCAGCCAAACAGUUCGUUCCUGCCUCCUGUUUGUACCAUCCAUGUUGCUGUUAACUGCCUUUGUGAGAUUAGGGAGAGGGUAAAGGAGUGCCAGUGUGUACCAGAGGGCCCCAGUACAGCAGCAGCAGUCACAUCUGUCCUUUUAUCUGCAGCAGGAUUCCUCUGCCUUUUUGCCCUAGUCCUGGCCUAGCUCCUGUCCCGCCAAACCAGGACUGACCCGUCCUUGACAAUCAAGAAAGAACAGAAAAAAAUGUAUAAAUGGUGAUGUUGGAAACAAUGGAAGUAAACAGAAGGUCUCAGGGUGUCCUCCCUCUGAGGAGCAGAGAAAGGAAGAAAAAGAAGGGGUCACAAGGAGGAGAGGCACCUUCAUGAGCAGGAAAAGGGCCCUGUCUCCUUUAAACUUCCUCACACAGAGGCCACUCACAUCUUUCCCCUUCCCACGACACCUCUGCUACCCCUGCCUGCCUUGUCUGCUCCAAUGAUGCCCUCAGCUGGGAGUUUGGUUUUGCUACACAGUGUAACAAAUAAAGAGAUAAAUUCCAGUUCCAGUAGAUCACUCAACAGGCUCCCACUGAUUUUUCUUAGGGGAACUCCUGGUCACUUUGAGAUGCUUUCUUUAACAUUCAUCUAUUUUUAUUAUUAUUAUUAAUAGUAGUAGUAGUAGUAGUACUAGUGGUAUUAUUAUUGGUAUUAGUAUUCAGCUUUUGUGUUCUGAGACCAAUCACUUGAUGCGCAUUCCUCUUCUUCACUACUUUCAGAACUGAUGACCUGUAAUGGUGUGAUAAUUUCUUUUAACUUGAAAAAAUAAUAUCUUGAAAGAUUUCCUACUGAUACAAUCACUGUCUCCCCUGUGUGAUUCAGUCAUAUGCAGAUCCUGAUAUUUAGAUUAGAACUAUUUGGAGAAAUUCCAAGUACAAGCCAUGACACUGAGCAACUUGAAGCAACAACUCUUUUUUCUGCUAUGCAGAAAACAAAUCCCAAGAAGGCUUCUUGGAGAAGGAAGGGAGGGAGGGAAUAUGAGAGAGAAGAGAAUGAGAGAAAUCAUUCCUAAGAGAACAUUUAAGCACUGAAUUUCCUGAUUGUUAGUUUAAUUUAAUUGCUCUGCUUUUAAGAAUUCAUUUGUGCAAAUUGUAUCUGAAAAGAGAGGAGAGAACUUGUUUUCUGUGUACUAAAUCUUCAAAUAUAGUGAGGUGGCUUGUGGCCUUCUCACUCUGCUACCUGCAGGUAUUGAGUGUGAAGAACAUUUUCUGUUUGCAAUUCAAGUGCAGAAAGAUAAAAGCAGAAAGGUAGAAAAUCCCCAAAUCACUGUAUUCUCUCUCUUAGCACAGAAACAGCAUGAUCCUGUCGUGGUUUGACACGGAAAAAGAAUUUUUCUGGAAGGAAGAGGUCAAUUUGGACAUUGACCAAUUGAAGGUGGACAUGCCUCUGAGAACACAGAGGGGUUAAAAGCAGAAUUCCCAGGAGAACUCGCUCUCUCUGGUUCUGGUCAGCAUGCAGUGCAGGCUCUCCCCUGCCCAGCCACGAGCUGGGUGGGGGAGGGG